RNAcentral lists this unclassified non-coding RNA (339 nucleotides) under soil metagenome. Its description in RNAcentral is "partial contains 5.8S ribosomal RNA, internal transcribed spacer 2, and large subunit ribosomal RNA". The stretch from base 1 to 120 matches the Rfam family "5.8S ribosomal RNA", at positions 35 to 154 of the family's 154-position model. The record is from RNAcentral.
GAUGAAGAACGUAGCGAAAUGCGAUAAGUAAUGCGAAUUGCAGAAUUCAGUGAGUCAUCGAAUCUUUGAACGCACAUUGCGCCCUUUGGUAUUCCGAAGGGCAUGCCUGUUCGAGCGUCAUUAUCAACCCUCAAGCCUGGCUUGUUGUUGGACCUCACCUCGUCAAGAGAUGGGCCCAAAAGGCAAUGGCGGCGUCGUGAUCGACUCCCGGUGCAACGAGCUUUGUAGCACGCACGGUGCCGGUCGGUUCGGCCCGGUCUCAAAUAUGUUAUUUCUCAAGGUUGACCUCGGAUCAGGUAGGAAUACCCGCUGAACUUAAGCAUAUCAAUAAGCGGAGGA